RNAcentral lists this long non-coding RNA (1027 nucleotides) under Junco hyemalis (dark-eyed junco). RNAcentral's name for it is "lncRNA (ENSJHYG00000001495.1)". Lineage: Eukaryota; Metazoa; Chordata; Aves; Passeriformes; Passerellidae. The record is from RNAcentral.
AACAAGAGGAAAAGCAGCAGCUCAAAACAUAUCUUGCCUGGUUUAUGAAAACUGAAAUAACACCACUAGAUGAUGGAAGAAAAAACUUUAUAAGACAUGGGAAUAAGGAUACAACACAUCUACAACUGUGAGUCUGAAUUAAAAAGAAAAUUUGUCAAAAGAUCACUAUGCUCCAACUUGCAAACCUCUGCAUGCUAUGGUGUGAUAAUAAUUCAGAUGUGCUGGUGAGCCCUACCUAAACUGAAUGUAUUUUUAAUUGAAAAACCUUUUCAAAACAACAGAUUGAAGAAUAAAUAAAGGAAGAAAGAUAUUUUAGGUGGCUGUGGGGACAGGAGAUGAGGUUGUGAGAGUUUUCUGGGGGAAAUCCAGGCACAGGUAAAGGAAAACGUGGCAUGAAAAUUGGGAUAUCUGAGGAACCGGAGAAGAACCUGAAGGAGGAGAAAGGCACCAGAAGGAGCAUGGCAGUGAUGAAGGAGAUCCUCCGAUCCAGAAAUCUCCUGCUUGUUGUUCUCAUUCCACUUCUGCUGCUUCCCCUGCCACUCAUAUACCCCAGCAGUCCACCAGAGAUACCACAAGGAAUGCCACAUGAUUUCAGUCAGCUGGGGACAGGCUUUCUGUAACCAAUGUUGCUGUGGCCACCCUGCACCCAGGCAAGGACAUUUGGAUGACUCCUGAAAGUCACCUGCUGGCAGAGCUGUGAGAAUGUAUUAUCAGGGGAUGGUGGCACCUUGAUGUGCCAAAUCAGCAGAAUGGACCCUAAAGCACAGAACAUGCUCUGGAGAGCCACAGCUGACUCAUUUUCAUUCACCUUUGGUUUUAUUUACACAAGCUGAAGCAUGGAAUUUCAGCAUGGUCCCAUAAAAUCAAAGAUGUUACCCCAGAGGCUGGACUACCUGUUUGCAGAGCUUAACCACAUGUCUGCAUGCAAGAUAUGCAAUGGGCAAAUAAGUGGGCAAAUUUCCAACAUAGAAUUUAUUCUUCCUUUUAAUCGUUUUGAGAUCCUUGGAUAUUUUAGUUACAGAAGUUU